GAUGAACGCUGGCGGCGUGCCUAAUACAUGCAAGUCGAGCGAACGGACGAGAAGCUUGCUUCUCUGAUGUUAGCGGCGGACGGGUGAGUAACACGUGGAUAACCUACCUAUAAGACUGGGAUAACUUCGGGAAACCGGAGCUAAUACCGGAUAAUAUUUUGAACCGCAUGGUUCAAAAGUGAAAGACGGUCUUGCUGUCACUUAUAGAUGGAUCCGCGCUGCAUUAGCUAGUUGGUAAGGUAACGGCUUACCAAUGCAACGAUGCAUAGCCGACCUGAGAGGGUGAUCGGCCACACUGGAACUGAGACACGGUCCAGACUCCUACGGGAGGCAGCAGUAGGGAAUCUUCCGCAAUGGGCGAAAGCCUGACGGAGCAACGCCGCGUGAGUGAUGAAGGUCUUCGGAUCGUAAAACUCUGUUAUUAGGGAAGAACAUAUGUGUAAGUAACUGUGCACAUCUUGACGGUACCUAAGCAGAAAGCCACGGCUAACUACGU
Molecule: ribosomal RNA, 496 nt
Filed under: uncultured bacterium
Lineage: Bacteria
Description: partial 16S ribosomal RNA
Rfam family: Bacterial small subunit ribosomal RNA
Source: RNAcentral